Molecule: ribosomal RNA, 476 nt
Filed under: uncultured bacterium
Lineage: Bacteria
Description: partial 16S ribosomal RNA
Rfam family: Bacterial small subunit ribosomal RNA
Source: RNAcentral
GACGAACGCUGGCGGCGCGCUUAACACAUGCAAGUCGAGCGGACAUAUUAGCAAUAGUAUGUUAGCGGCGGACGGGUGAGUAACGCGUGAGGAAUCUGCCUUUCAGAGGGGGAUAACACAGAGAAAUUUGUGCUAAUACCGCAUAAGACCACGGCAUCGCAUGGUGAUGGGGUCAAAGGAGAAAUCCGCUGAAAGAUGAUCUCGCGUCUGAUUAGCUAGUUGGUGGGGUAAAGGCCUACCAAGGCGACGAUCAGUAGCCGAACUGAGAGGUUGGUCGGCCACAUUGGGACUGAGACACGGCCCAGACUCCUACGGGAGGCAGCAGUGGGGAAUAUUGCGCAAUGGGCGAAAGCCUGACGCAGCGACGCCGCGUGGAGGAAGAAGGUCUUCGGAUUGUAAACUCUUGUCGACAGGGACGAUAAUGACGGUACCUGUGGAGGAAGCCACGGCUAACUACGUGCCAGCCGCCGCAGUAA